Molecule: long non-coding RNA, 480 nt
Filed under: Homo sapiens (human)
Lineage: Eukaryota; Metazoa; Chordata; Mammalia; Primates; Hominidae
Description: HSALNT0265847
Source: RNAcentral
CCUAUGGACUUGUCUUAUCCCAGGUUCCUUAGAAAUAGGAUAAUGGGUCUGCUGUGGUUUGAAUGCAUUUCUGCCAAAAUUCAGGUGUUGAAACUUCAUGGCCCAUGUGAUCAAAUUAAAAGGCAAGGCCUUUAGGAGGUGAUGACAAGGCUGUGAGGGCUCCUCCCUUGUGAAUGGAAGAGGCACCAUCACAGUAUCCGGCUUGCCUGCCCUUCUGCCUUCCCUGAGGACGCAGGGCUCCUUCUCUCCAGAGGAUGCAGCAAGAAGGCACUGCAAAGGGAAAUAAAAAUCUCGGGUCACAUAUGCACCACGGAAUACUAUGCAGCCAUAAAAAAGAAUGAGUUCAUGUCCUUUGCAGGACAUGGGUGAAGCUGGAAACCAUCAUCCUCAACAAACUAACACAGGAACAGAAAACCAAACACUGCAAGUUCUCACUCAUAAGUGGGAGUUGAACAAUGAGAACACGUGGACACAGGAAGG